This 379-nucleotide RNase P RNA is filed under the name Planctomycetaceae bacterium. RNAcentral describes it as "RNase P RNA component class A". It matches the Rfam family "Bacterial RNase P class A". Rfam says of the family: Ribonuclease P (RNase P) is a ubiquitous endoribonuclease, found in archaea, bacteria and eukarya as well as chloroplasts and mitochondria. Its best characterised activity is the generation of mature 5'-ends of tRNAs by cleaving the 5'-leader elements of precursor-tRNAs. Lineage: Bacteria; Pseudomonadati; Planctomycetota; Planctomycetia; Planctomycetales; Planctomycetaceae. The record is from RNAcentral.
GGAGCGGGACGGGUGAUCGCUGCUCAUUGUUUUGAGUGGAGGAAAGUCCGGACUCCAAUCGGACACGAUGACGGAUAACGUCCGCCGGUCGUGAGAUCAGGGAAAGUGCAACAGAAAAUAUACCGCCGAAAAAUUUUUUUCGGUAAGGGUGAAAUGGCGAGGUAAGAGCUCACCACAAUUCGGGUAACCGGAUUGGUAAUGCAAACCCCAUUGGGAGCAAGGUCAAAUAGGAAUCUAGGUUUGUCCGUGCCGUUUAAGAUUCGGGUAGACUGCUUGAGGAUUUAAGGUAACUUAAUUCCCAGAUAAAUGAUCACCAUUUUGAUUUGUGAUUAAAUCAUAGAUCAAAAAACAGAAUCCGGCUUAUAGUCCCACUCCUUUA